This is a long non-coding RNA of Cyprinodon tularosa, 3175 nucleotides long. RefSeq lists it as uncharacterized. Lineage: Eukaryota; Metazoa; Chordata; Actinopteri; Cyprinodontiformes; Cyprinodontidae. The transcript has 4 exons. The record is from RefSeq and is a predicted model, not a curated record.
GGUCCUGACAGUGUAUGUUUGGUGUUUGUUGUUGUCAAAUCAGGAGUGGAAAAGAGAAAACUCUACCUAGGCGUUAACUGUGAACAUAUCGCAUGAGACAGAAUGGGCAGGAAGUGAUUGUUGGGAUCUGGAGUUCUGCCACCUUUCUCCAGCAGAGGGCGUCCUGGGUCUCCUGAGCUGAGUCACCUGCACACCUGAGGCUCAUCCUCUCAUCAGGAGACCAACUACUUAAGCAGCGGCCAGACCUGUCUUCAGUGCCAGAGUGUUGCCAGUUAUGGCCUUCCUGCCUGCCCUGACAGCCAAACCUGAAGAACCUCAAGCUGAGUUUGUUCCUGUUCUCAGGAGAGAACCUUGGCUGAUAACUGAAAGUCUGAACUCAGGUCUGUAGUCAAGCUCUGCCGCUGCUAGCUCUCUGCAGAACCCUCAAGCUCUGGACCCAACUGGUUCCCUCUCUCACUGCGUCAGUCUGAAUCUCUCCAGAGAAACCCUUUUGAAGUCAUUCCAGACCAGAAUCAGUAUUUGAUAUUGUUUUGUGCUUUUCAAAUAAACUGUUGAACAACACAGAGGAAGCUGAAUAUGUGACAAUGGAGGCAGUUAAGCUUAUGCUGGAGCAACAAAAGGAUCAUUAUGAGGAGCUGUUGAAGAGGCAGGAGAAGGCCUUCAGUGGCUUUUGUCAAAUGAUCCUGGACUCUGUGAACAAAAGGGUGGAUUCACUUGUGGGAGAGGUGCAGGAAAUAAAGUGAGUUUAAACUACUCACAGAAAGACAUUGAUGACGUAAAAAAGCAAACACAAAUUCAAAAGACUGAUUUGGAAGUAGUGAACAAGGAGCUGAAGAGUUUUAAGUCUGAAAUGUCUGUCAAGGCCUAUGAUGAAAAAAUAGACUACUUGGAGAAUCAGUCUAGGAGAAACAACAUUGUGAUCACAGGACUGGGUCCAGAUAAGCCUGAAGAGACCUGGGAGGACACUGAAAUCAAAGUCAAAAAGUUAUUCACUGAACAACUGAAAAUGGAGGCCCCAGUAGAGAUUGAGCGUGCUCACAGAAAUGGAAGGUUCAGGGGUGAAAAUGAUAGACCCAGAUCCAUAGCGGUAAAUCUGCUGCGCUUUAAAGACAAACAGCUGAUCAUGGCGCGAGCAAGAGCCCAGCUGAAAAACUCCUCCAUAUACAUUAAUGAGGACUUUUCAGAGAGAGUGAGGAAGAAGACAGCAGAGUUGUUACCUGCUCUAAGAGAGGCAAGAGCGAGAGGUGACUAUGCAGUCAUCAGUUAUGAUCGCUUGAUUGUUAAACCCAAAAGCAGGGAUUGAAGGUGGAAACAUGCAAUAUGAUGGCAUCACAUUGUUAAAUAUGCUAUAAUGUACCUCAAACAAACUCAUGGAUCUAAAUCUACCUAAAAAAGGUGUGAGAAUUGCUCAUAUUAAUGUAAGGAGCUUAAGAAACAAAGUACAUGAAUUAUACAGUUAUGUUCAAAAGGAAAGAAUAAAUAUUAUGGCUGUAUCGGAGACCCAUUUGGAUCAGACAAUUGUUGAUAAUUGUGUGGCUAUAUCUGACUACAAUAUUUAUAGAUGUGAUCGAAAUCUCUUCGGAGGUGGAGUUGCUUUUUACAUACAAAGCCAAAUCCCUGCUAAGAUUAGGACGGACCUAAUGGUUCCUACGGUUGAAUGUUUAUGCUUAGAAGUAAAUAUUCCUUUUUGUCGACCAAUUAUUGUUGGAUGCAUCUAUAGGCCGCCAAAUUCGAGUGCACUGUAUGUUGAUGAAAUGUGCUCUAUUCUGUAAAACAUGUCUAAUUUGGGUUAUGAGAUGUAUGUGUUGGCAGAUUGUAAUAUUGACUGGCUCUCUAAAACUUGUCAUCUUAAGAAAAAGCUAAAAAGCACAUUAAGAAUCUGUAAUCUUAAACAGAUUGUCAAACAACCAACUAGAAUAUUCUGUAAUGAAUCUGGGCAUAUGUCCUCAACAUGCAUUGAUCACAUAUUCACAAACCAUAGCUCUAGUUGCUCUCAGGUAGUUUCUUUUCCAGUUGGUUUUUCAGAUCACAAUAUAGUGGCUUUAGCCAGAAAAUGUAAAGCGCCAAAAAGUGGGCCAAAAAUAAUACUUAGAAGAAGUUAUAAAAAUUUUAAGGUGGAGGAAUUAAUCAGUGAUUUGGAGGAGAUAGAUUGGAGCCUUGUGCUAUGUACAAAAGAUGUGGAUUUUGCAGUGAUUUGUUUCUCUCAGUAGUAAGUAAGCAUGCACCACUUAAAAGGCUUACAGUAAGAGCAAACAAAGCCCCAUGGAUUGAUGAUGAGCUUAGACAGAGCAUGGCACAUAGAGACUCCCUGAAAAAAGAAGCCUGUGUUUUAGGCAAAGUGGCAUUUCCUGUGAAAUGGGAAGCUUAUUGUAAAGAGAGAAAUAAAGUGACUAUGCUCAAUAGAAAGAAAAAAAGGGAUUAUUAUAGAAAGUCGAUAGAUCAAAAGAAAAAUGAUGGUAAACAACUGUGGAAUACCUUGAAUGAAUUAAUGGGCAGAAGCAAAAUUAAGACACCAGCAUUUUUAGAAGUGAAUGGACUUUUUUUUUAAAAGGUAAAGAUAUUGCAGACCAUUUUGGUAAAUAUUAUUAUGAUAAAAUAUAUAAGUUAAUGAAUGACACAAAGUGUUACAGCAAUCUGGGCACUUCAUCUCAAAUAAUCAAUGAUUUGAUUGUUAAGAAUAAAAACUGUCAUUUCACAUUUAAAUUGUUAAGCACAGAUAAAGUUAAAAGUUUGCUUCUAAGUUUACAUGAAAACAAACCAUCAGGAAUGGAUGAGAUUGAUGGCAGAUUACUGAAAAUGGCUGCAAGUGUGAUAGCUUCACCAGUCUGCCAUUUGUUUAAUCUAAGCUUGACAGAAGGGGUCUUCCCUCAAAUGUGGAAAUCUGCUAAAAUACUUCCUCUUUCAAAAACUACCAAUGUUAGCCUCUCUGCAGUCAAUAGUAGGCCCAUUAGUAUUCUGCCUAUACUUAGUAAAUUGCUGGAAAAGGUUGUUUUUGGACAGAUUUCAACAUAUUUAAACUGUAACAAAUUGAUUUUUGAAUCACAGCAUGCAUAUAGGGAAAAUCACUCGACAUGUACAGCCCUUACAGAAAUGACGGAGAAUUGGUUGUCUAGCAUAGACAAAAAACUGAUAGUUGGUGCAGUGUUUUUGGAUUUUAGUGCUGCAUUUGAUUUAG